This is a long non-coding RNA of Equus caballus (horse), 4139 nucleotides long. RefSeq lists it as uncharacterized. The record is from RefSeq and is a predicted model, not a curated record. Lineage: Eukaryota; Metazoa; Chordata; Mammalia; Perissodactyla; Equidae.
UGUGCCCAUCUUCCUCUACUUUAUAUGUGGGACGCCUACCACAGCAUGGCUUUUUGCCAAGCGGUGCCAUGUCUGCACCCAGGAUCCGAACCGGUGAACCCCGGGCCGGCCCCGUUGGUUCUGAUUGUAACAGAUACUUGGCCCAGCAGAGUCCCUGACACACUGGAGGUGCUCAGCACAUCUUUGGCGAAUGAAUUAAUGAACAAACUGAUUGUAUGAAGCCCAGCCAAGCCCUGGAUUUUCUCAUGGAAAACGAGGGAUGGACAGGAGCAGACAGUUCCUGAAUAGUCCUCGCUCUGGCGGGAACACCACCCUGCAAAAAGCAUACGGGACACACAGUGAGCCAGCAAAUGCUUUCUUGUAAGCACUCCUGCAUUUCCUACUUUCCAUCAAAACCCCUUUGAGGAGAGGGCGGAGAAUGACGGCUGAGUGAUUAUGACUGAGGACCGCAAUCACCAUGCUCUGGGCACCUUCGUCACAUCUCCCUCUCCCAGGCGUCCCCUGUUCCCUGCUCUCCUUCUCCCUGGCGGCGGCAGAGCCAUUCGAUGGCGGGCAGGCGACUGCUGGUUAGGUUCAGGCAAAAGUCACCAUCACUGGCGUUUAGGCUGGUUCUCUUUGCUCUGUUCCCCUCCCCUGUUGUCCAUUUUCCCCAGACAUAGAUUAAUCACAAGUUAAUAGGAGCCGAAAGCUCAACAAUAGCGGAAUGUUUUCGGGGCGGAUUUUUCUGCCUUUCUUUUGGCUGCUCUGAGAUUUCUAUCAAUGCUGCAUCUGUUGGCUAAAUCAAAUCUUUCAAAGGUAACACAUGAUCAUGGCUGCUGGGAUUCGUCUAUGACAAUCCAGUUGUGGAGGGGACACGGAAGAUGCCUGACACACAGGCACUGUCUUUCUCAAGGUUAUUCCUUUAUGAAGGGGAUGACUUCUUUGUGUGUGCUACAAAGUGUCUGUAAAGGGAAUAAAGUGUGGGGAAUCUCACCAGCCACUUCCUUCCUUCCCAGGGCAGUGGAUUCGACCUCUUUGAAGCCGCAGGGGCACAGAGCAGAGAGAGGCUGAGGCUAAGAGGGCUGGGCUUUCUUUGGUUGGGGGUUGGGAGUACUUUGUCUCCCUAGGAAAGAUGCUACAAGCCUCUGUUGCAAGCUCUUGCAGAAGUCAGGGGGGAAAUGUAGCUAGGCUUCUGGGGAUCCCACACUCCAUUUCUUGGGGAGUUGAAUGGAUGCUUCCUUCAAAGGCCAUAACAGAACUUCUACCCCCACUGAGCUGAUGAAAGAUGAUGGACAGAUUGGGAAACUGAGACAAAGAGAGAAGUGCAUAUUUGAGACUACAGAGGUAGUUCUGAGGGCAGGACUCAGGGCGCCAGACCCCACCCAGAACCUGCAGCUUAACUGCCUUGAGAUUAGGAGUCUUAGAGUUGUCUCUCUGCUUUUCUUGGAUCCCAAGAGAAAGCUCUGUAGCAGACAAAAGCUCAUGGGAAGAGAGGAGUGACCUGUGUCCACAGAGAGGGAGAGAGCUGCUCUUUGUGUCCAUGAGAAGAAAGCGAAGUGCAGCUCGAGAGAGAGACCAGAGUGAGACCAGAGGCUCCCCACCUCGGGCAGUUUGCCCCCCCGCCCAGGAAACAUUUUUGUUUGUCAGAACUUGGAGUAGGGUGCUGCUACUGGCAUCUGGCACGUAGAUGGGAGGCCAGGGAUACUGCUGAACAUCCUCCAAAGCACAGGACGGACCCUCACAAUGAAGAAUUAUCCAGCCCCAAAUGUCAACAGUGGCGAGGUUGAGAAACUCUGAGUUAGACUGAAGGAAAACUUCGUAUGAAUGUUGGGGUCUCAGUCAGUGGGGCAGUGUGCCAAGAGAAAGGGAUGAAAUAUUUAAAAAGAAAUAGGGUAGCUAUCAGCUCAGGGGCAGAACCACCUAGAGGAAUGGGCUAUCUAAGAUGAGUUGAGUGAUUGUUUUUACUAAAGGGCUGCUCUGUGCCGGGUGCCAUGCAAUGCUGAGGCUGCAGACAUGGUAAAGCCAGGCUCCUCCUGCCUCAUGGAGCCGGGGCUGUGACGCAGCUCCCUGCCAGGAGGCGGACGCAGACACUGAGGAGCCCCCCUCCUAAGAAGCGCUACUGCCUCCCAAUCCCUGAAACACGACUCGCGUUAAAGACGGUAAAGCAAAUAAUCAUCAAUAUUGGAUGGGCUGAGAUUAGCGACGGAGAAGAGGGAGUCCUUCCAGAUUAAUAAUGCAUCGAGGACUCCUUCUGAGGAAGGAUAAAUUAUGCAGGGCAUGCUGCUCGGCACGGGAGGAAAACAAUAGCUCUUUAAUUCGGGGCUGGUUAGAUCUCAGGGGCAGGGACUCUCUCUGCUUUGGGCCUCAAUGGCGGCCUCACUUCCUGUCCCUGAGAAGGUCCUCCCUUGGCUUCCCAGCACAGGUGGGGAUUCCUGGUGCUGUCCCCCACCAUGGAACCAUCUGAGGCAGCUGCCUAGUCCCCUGGCCAGCCAUGUGGGACACUUGUGUUUAGAGCCUUAGAGCUCUCAACCUGCCCUCCAGACCCAGCUCAGAUGUCAGCUCCUCCAGGAAGCCUUCCCUGACCAGCAUAGCAGUCUCCUACGGUGUUUUCUGCACACAACCCUGGGUCACUGUUACUUGGGCACACGUUGGGACCCAGCAGGGCCAGCUGUAUAUAUUUCAAUGAUUCUAAGAUGCACUUUCCCCCACAUUUUCACACCGCUGAUAUAAACUGUCGGUGGCACAGCAUGGUUCCAUUGACAGUGUUUUCUUUGUGAGAGUACAUAAAAUAAAGUUUUGCCUCACUACCAAUGUUGUCUUGUAUUUGAAGAAAUACGGUAGAAGGUGCUCAGUGCCUGUGAGCGUUCCAGACCCUAGUUCCUGAGAGCUGGAUUGGUGCUGAGGGACCCUUCAUUUCCUCCAUGAGGUCCAGCCCUGAAGGCACUCGGUGUUUGUUGAAUGAACAAACGAGCGAACGAAUGCUCAGGUUAUAUACCAGCCAGCUGCACUGGCUCCAGGGCCCCCUCUUGAUAGUCUCCUUUCCAACCCUCCUCCCUUGCAGACAGUACGACCCCCCGCCGCUCAGCUCCAGGCACUGAGGACCAAGGACCACUUCCGUCUAAGUCAUAACACUUGCUAAGACGCCUCUGCUUGCAGUGACCAAGUGAUUUUGUGGAGAAUCAAAAGCUGGAAAUGAAGAGGGGCCGAGACCAAAUCCGAGUUGUCCCAGCGACAGGGCUGCAAACAGAGGCGUCUCUGUCUAGCCUACAGCCAGCAGCAGCACCACGCCCCCCGGGCCCGAGGGGAGAAGGGAGACUCCCUCACAGAUAAGAGGCAGCCACAUACAGGGCUGUGGAGGUGUUUGUCUGGGGCCCACAGCCUCACUGAUGACCAGAGGGCGGUGCCAGCUGGUGCAGGAAGCAGGAAGGGAAGGGAGCUGGGAGAGGGGGCCCAGGGAAGCCCGGCUUCUCCACUUCCCAGAUUCAGGCUCCUCAGGAAGCAGGUGGGGCCAGCUUCAGCUCCACUGUCCUCAAGCCCCAAAGGACACAGAGUGAAGCGGGAGGCUGGCCUUAAGUUGAGGCCCUGACGAAGGGCCUGCACUUCAACCAUCCUGCUCCUCCACCCUAGGCAGGGCCUGCUGGUGCAGGCCCCAGGGUGAGCCAUACUGAUUUUAAGGUCCCUUCUGUGGCUCAAGCCCCUGCUUCUGCCCUGGUGGUCAUGACUCUGGGUCCCUUGGGGUCAGGGAGGGCUUGGUUAGAUGCAGAGCAUGUGGAGAGGAAAUGUUCUCCAGGACAAUGCCCCCAGAGCCUGUGGCACUCUGAGCCCAUCCACCUCAGCCCCCCGGUCUGUGUGGCCCCACUCCCACCCCAGCUCCCCUGAGGGUCACCAAGCUCCCUCCUUACUCCUGUAUUUGUGGUCCCAGACUGGCCCAUUUUCAAUGCUGGCAGCCCAGUGCAGUGGACAGAGGCAGGUGGCCUAGGUCCUUGUCCUGACUCUGUGUGGCCUUGGUCUUCUCUUCUUUUCAUCAAAGUGGUUACCGAAGGUGAGAGCUGAUGUCCUAGCUCUUUCUCUGCCCUGCCUGGAUGGUCAGGCUGGAGGUGGGGGAGGGGUCUGUGCCUUGAGAAGCCCCCUCUCCACCUAUGUCCACCCUACCCCUGUCC